UUUAUUUCUAGGAGUCCCAAGUGAAAGUCUUGGGGAUUUAUUAGGGUCCCUAUUCAGGGGCAAGCCCUGAAUGCUGCAUUUUUCUCUUCUGUAUUAUGUGACUGCUGAUAACUGCAUUUAAGUCUUCACUUCUUUACUAUGGGAUUCUGUAUGGCUUACCUGUACCUUCCCAGCUUAUGAAUUGAUUUAAUUAUUCAUUUGACAGAGAAAGAAAGAUCAAGAAAGCAGUGGGGAGGGGCAGCAGGAGAAGGAGAAGCAGGCUCCUGCUGAUCAAGUAGCCCACUGGGCCUUGAUCCUAGGACCUGAGAUCAUGACCUGAGCCAAGGCAGACGGAGAUCACAAGCAAGCAGAGGAGCAGGCCCAGAGAGAGGAGGAAGCAGGCUCCCUGCUGAGCAGAAAACCCAAUAUGGGGCUAGAUCCCAGGA
RNAcentral lists this long non-coding RNA (425 nucleotides) under Mustela putorius furo (domestic ferret). RNAcentral describes it as "lncRNA (ENSMPUG00000025157.1)". Lineage: Eukaryota; Metazoa; Chordata; Mammalia; Carnivora; Mustelidae. The record is from RNAcentral.